RNAcentral lists this ribosomal RNA (507 nucleotides) under uncultured bacterium. RNAcentral's name for it is "partial 16S ribosomal RNA". It matches the Rfam family "Bacterial small subunit ribosomal RNA", at positions 340 to 864 of the family's 1533-position model. The record is from RNAcentral.
UNCGGGAGGCAGCAGUGGGGAAUAUUGGACAAUGGACCAAAAGUNUGAUCCAGCAAUUCNGUGUGCACGAUGAAGGUCUUCGGAUUGUAAAGUGCUUUCAGUGGGGAAGAAGAAAGUGACGGUACCCACAGAAGAANCGACGGCUAAAUACGUGCCAGCAGCGGCGGUAAUANGNAUGUNGCAAGUUUUAUCAGGAAUUAUNGGNAGUAAAGCGAGUGUAGGCGGCUUGUUAAGUAAGAAAAGAAAAUGCGGGGCUCAACUCAGUAUUGCGUUUGAAACUGGCAGGCUAGAGUACUGGAGAGGUGGGCGGAACCACAAGUGGAGAGGAGAAAUUCGUAGAUAUUNGUAAGAAUNCGGAUAGAGAAGACAGCUCACUGGACAGAUACUGACGGUAAAGCUNGAAAGNGNGGGGAGCAAACAGGAUUAGAUACCCUGGUAGUCCACGCNGUAAACGAUGUUCACNGGGUGUAGGGGGUCGACCCUCAGUGCCGCAGCUAACGCGNUAAG